Molecule: long non-coding RNA, 209 nt
Filed under: Actinidia chinensis (golden kiwifruit)
Lineage: Eukaryota; Viridiplantae; Streptophyta; Magnoliopsida; Ericales; Actinidiaceae
Description: long non-coding RNA (ACHI_LNC002217)
Source: RNAcentral
CCGUCGUUGUGACUCUACUUGUGUGAUCUGUGAAACCCCCUCUACUGAGACAGGUAUCUCCAUCUGCCCCUGGAUGCUAAUAAUGGGUCAACAUAUCCAUCGAACUCAUCAUCAUCUCCUACUGGCGAGAACGAAGAGCACUGAUCAUAUGUAACAGGAGAUGUAAUAUGGCGAUGGGUGGUGUGACGUGGUCUGACGCCAGAACUACU